Oncorhynchus tshawytscha (Chinook salmon) is the source of this 412-nucleotide long non-coding RNA. The record is from Ensembl. NCBI's taxonomy places the organism in Eukaryota, Metazoa, Chordata, Actinopteri, Salmoniformes, Salmonidae.
GAGAGGGAGAGAGGGAUAGAGGGAGAGAGGGAGAGAGGGAUAGAGAGGUAGAGGGAGAGAGGGAGAGAGGGAUAGAGAGGUAGAGGGAUAGAGAGGUAGAGGGAGAGAGGGAGAGAGGGAUAGAGAGGUAGAGGGAGAGAGGGAGAGAGGGAUAGAGAGGUAGAGGGAGAGAAGGAGAGAGGGAUAGAGAGGUAGAGGGAGAGAGGGAGAGAGGGAUAGAGAGGUAGAGGGAGAGAGGGAGAGAGGGAUAGAGAGAUAGAGGGAGAGAGGGAGAGAGGGAUAGAGAGGUAGAGGGAGAGAGGGAGAGAGGGAUAGAGGGAUAGAGGGAGAGGGAGAGAGGGGGAGAGAGGGAUAGAGAGGUAGAGGGAGAGAGGGAUAGAGAGGUAGAGGGAGAGAGGGAGAGGGAGAGAGG